GUUUACUGCCGCGUAGGCAGCUCAGAAA
This 28-nucleotide non-coding RNA is filed under the name Hydrocarboniphaga daqingensis. The record is from RNAcentral. Lineage: Bacteria; Pseudomonadati; Pseudomonadota; Gammaproteobacteria; Nevskiales; Nevskiaceae.